GUGCUUGCUUCAGCAGCACAGAUACUAAAAUUGGAACGAUACAGAGAUUAGCAUGGGCCCUGCGCAAGGAUGACAUGCAAAUUCAGGAAGUGUUCCAUAUUAAA
This is a small nuclear RNA of Pipistrellus kuhlii (Kuhl's pipistrelle), 104 nucleotides long. NCBI's taxonomy places the organism in Eukaryota, Metazoa, Chordata, Mammalia, Chiroptera, Vespertilionidae. The record is from RefSeq and is a predicted model, not a curated record.